GAUGCUUAGUGUGUGUAAAUGAUGCAGUGCUUAUUUGGAAUUAUGUUGCUUUGUUUGUGUUGAAAUAUGCAUUAUGAAUAGGCAUGUAAAGCAAUCUGGCCGAAUUUGACAAGACUGGACUUUUAAAUCUAUAUCUUGAGUUUUAUAAUUUCAAAUGACCUGAAACUUAUGGAAAAUUAAAUUUAAGAUAUAAUGCUAAAACUUUUAUGAAGACAAGUCGCUCUAAUUCUAUGUGUAAAUACCUUGAAUAAUUGCUAGAAGUUGAAUUACAAAAUCUGGAACCUAGGAAUAAGGUACCCUGAACAGUCUAGAUUAAAAUGGGUAUAACUCACCCCAGGAAAUUCCAAAUGAGGUGAUUCUUGAUUUUUUAAAAAGCUAAGACAUAAAGAAAUAACUUUCAUGAGGAACAAAAUGACAAAUUCUAAUUAUAACUAGUUCAAAUCCGAACUCCAAAAACUGUCUAGAACCUGUCCUGCGAUCAUUAGAGAAUGUAUCUAAACAUAUUUUGCUUGUUUGGACAUAACUCACUGUAUAAAAUUCCAAAUGAGGUGAAUUUGACCUUGGGGAAAGCUAAGAUACAGAGGAACAACUUUUAUGAAGACCAAUUUGAUAAAUUAUGACUAAAACUUGACUGAAAUUGAAUUCCAAAAUCUAUCCAGAAGCUGCCCUGUAUUCUAGAAGGAAAAGUAGACAUGACUAGAUCCUGCUUAUUUGGUCAUAACUUGUGAUCUAUAAAUCAAAAUCAAGUGAUUCAAAACCCAAAUGAAAGUUAAGACAUAAAUCUAAAAAUCUUAUGAAGAAAGCAUAAGCUAAUUCUUGCAUUUAUUUAGUCCAAUUUCUAUUGGAAAACUGUAUAUACAUUCAGAAAUUUGCAAGAUUGUGCCAUUUUAAUCAUUAUUGCAAAUUGCAUAUGUAUUUAGUAUGCUUGAAUGUAAGGACUAUAUAAAUAUAGAAAUGGUAUGAGUAUGUUGGCACACAUAUCUUGACAUUUAUGUGAACAAAGAAUGUUGAAUGACUGCUAAUUUUGAAAGUUAAGCCAAUUAAGCCUAGACAAUGAGUAUAGGAUUGGAUAAGUGGGCAUACUACUGGUCAGAGCCACCGAGUGAUCAGUAUCGAGAAUGAAAGUUAGCAUUAUACAUGUCAGAGCCAUUGAGUGAUUAGUACCGAGAUGUAAGCCUGUGUUAAACCAACUAGAAUCACCGAGUGGUCAGUGUCAUGAGUCUCAUUAUCCAAUCUAUAUACCAUCUGUCAUAGGUUACUAUGAGUACUAGAGUAAAGUCUCCAAUUGUGAUCAUAGAGAUAGAUAAUAAUUUCAAAUAAGAUAUGAUAAAGUGCAUUUAACCUCAUUAAAUGGUAUGAUUAAUAAGUAUGGAUUUAUUGACUUAUUUUUAUGUCAUGAUGUUAUAUAUUUGUUUUAAUACUUUUAAAUACUCUUGUAUAAAUAUGAUGAGUAUAUUAUGUGUUAGUGUACAUAAAAAAAAUUAUUUUGUUUUAAAUUAAGAGUGUACCAAUAAGCUAUUUAGCUUAAUGUGAAGAUUUGUUUCCUCGCACAAGUAAAGUAGACAAAGUAUAGAUUUUGGUUGACAGGAGGUAGAGUGAAUUUGCAGAAAAGUCCAGAGUCACCAUAUCUUGGACUUUUGGGUAGAUGCAUCAUCAUCAUCCUUAUUGUAUAGUUUUACUCAUAUGUAUGUGUAACUUAUGUUGUAAAUAAUAUUUUGUAAAUUUCAUUCUUGGAAAUUGUAAUCAUAAGUAUGUAAAUUCAAUUUAACCACAUGAGUUGGUUAAUACAGUUGUAAAUUAAAGAUAUCUCUUGUGUUUAUACAAUCUUGGAUGAUGAAAUUGAUAUUGAUGAAAUUUGAUGAUUAUUAUAUGAUAGAAAUGAUAGAGUAAUUGAGGAUUUCAUAGGUUUUGAAAAAUGUUCUAACAGGUGAAUAGUUAAAAUUUAGGGGAGACUCUUGCAGUUUCUCUGUUAACAUAAACAGAUAUAUUUUUGUAAUUACACUUUUAAGUAAAUGAAGGAUAAUAGUUAAUAGACAGAGAUAGGUGCUCCUUUCACCAAAUGUGAUAUCUCCUUACUCGAUUUUACUAUAGAUAGGGUAAAAGGGGUGUUACAUAUGCCUUUGGGUGGCUUGCAAUGCCUCUUUGGGUGGACUUAUGCCUUGGGUGAGUUCUUUACACCACUUGGCGAACUUAUGCCUUUGGGUGGGUUGUCAAUGCCUUUUUAAGCAGACUUGUGCCUUGGGUGGGCUGUUUAUGCCACUUGGCGAACUUAUGCAUUUGGGUGGCUUGUCAAUGUCUUUUUAGUCAUACUUGUACCUUGGGUGGGUUCUCUAUGCCACUUGACAGACUUAUGCCUUAGAUGGCUUUGAACUUAUGCCUUGAAUGGCUUGUCAAUGCCUUUAGGUGGCUUGUCAAUGCAUUUAUGGUGGAAUUAUGCCUUAAAUAGCUUAUCGACACCCAUUUGGGCAGACUUAUGCCUUAAUGGCUUGUUAAUGCCUUUAUGGCAGAUUUAUGCCUUUGGGUGGUGUUGCAGUCCAUGAAAAUUCCUUAUGGAUAUGGACAUGAAAAACAAAUAACAAAUGGGUCAGAGGUCCAUCGAGUAUUCCCGGUAAGGAUCCUUCGAUGCACAAAUUAAAACUGAUGUAAGAGAAUAGUGUAUCAGAUUUAUUAAGGAGAAGAACAUACCUCCGUAGAUGAUCUGAUAUCUUUAUAUAGGAUAUAGACAAUGAUUGGUUAUAAUAACUCAACUAUGUAAUUAUGUAGAUAUUAUUAGCCAGUAUAAUUAUAAGAUUAUAUUUCUAUUUAUAGUGCACAAUUAUAGGCUUUGUUAUAUUUAGUAAUCCCACAAAGAUUGCUUGUUUUUAAUCAAGAUUCUUUCUUUUUAUUGAGUGGGUCAUACAAUGAUUGAAUUGAUUAAAUGAAUCUCAUGGCUGAACCAUUAAAUAUGAUUAUGCUCAUAGCCUAUCCAAAAAAACAAGUUACUAGAUUAAUUAUAUAUAUUUUGGGCAGCUAUCUCAUUAGCCCCCCCUUCAAGUAUGAAUCUUUAAGUUCACUUAGAUGUUGAAGCUUUGGCCAUUGCCCUAAAAUAUUUUUUGAGUGCAGACUAUCAACUUGAUAAAUUAUAAAUGACAAAUUAUUGCUUUAAUAAUUUUCAAGUGGUAGACUGUUACCUUUAGAUCGGCUACUGAAGCCUAUCAUCUUGGUGAACUGUCCCUUUAUUAGCCUCUUUAGGCUUUUUGGGUGAAUAUCGCCUACAUUCCUUUUCUGGUCUUAGGUGGGCGACGAUUGCCUUAGGUGCCUUUUCAAGCCUUAGGUGUAUUUUUCAGAUCUUAAGUAUCUUUUUCACAUCUUACAGUGCCUUUGUAGAUCUUAUAGUGCCUUUGUAGGUCUUAAAAUGUCUUUUUAGUUCUUAGAGUGCCUUUGCAGGUCUUAGAGUGUCUUUGUAGGUGUUUGGUGUCUUAUUCAGCUCUGACUGCCUUUUUUAGGUCUUACAGCCUUAUUCAGGUCUUUAGUAGCUCAUUGACGUCUUUGGUGCGUUAUUCGGGUCUUUCAUGCCUCGUUGAGGUCUUUGGUGCCUUAUUCAGUUCUCACUGCCUUUUUGUAGGUCUUAUUGCCUUAUUCAGGUCAUUGGUGCCUCAUUGAGGUCUUUGGUGCCUUAUUCAGUUCUCACUGCCUUUUUGUAGGUCUUAUUGCCUUAUUCAGGUCAUUGGUGCCUCA
Molecule: unclassified non-coding RNA, 3717 nt
Filed under: Hevea brasiliensis (rubber tree)
Lineage: Eukaryota; Viridiplantae; Streptophyta; Magnoliopsida; Malpighiales; Euphorbiaceae
Source: RNAcentral